CUAGAGUCAAGCAAACUUUCUUACUAUUUCCCCGUUACAGAUAACAAAAUUCAAGCAGCAUCUUUCACCACCAGGAGGGAGUCAUCGCAUCUGAGGGUUCAGGUUCUCAAUGCCAAUUUCUCAGCAGUGGUAGGUCAGGUCUUUGAAGCUCCAUCCUAAAAUUGCAGGGCUCUAAAUAACCCAGAUGAAACCUAUUGGGAUGAAUUCACAACUGUCUGCAAGAGAAAGCUCCCGCUGACGUCAAUAGGAGUUUAUCCUGAGGGCCUAAGAAUUAGGACCUGAACAUUGACUCUAGCCUGAUCCAGCAGCAUAAAGCAGAACUGUUCCUCCUGAAGCACCUCCCAAGCAUCAUAGCUGAUCUCAGGAAAACCAUUCUCUGUCCUACUCCCUGAACCUGGUUCUUUCUAGCCUUGUUUACCCUGCCAUAUAAGAGAAAGGCCUUUUUCUGUCUGACCUUUAAGAUACUUGCAGAUCUUAUAGUCAGAGUUCUCUCUAUUGCAAGAGAGAGAACUAUCUCCAUAUCUUUUCAAAUAAAC
This 536-nucleotide long non-coding RNA is filed under the name Homo sapiens (human). Its description in RNAcentral is "HSALNT0364738". The record is from RNAcentral. Lineage: Eukaryota; Metazoa; Chordata; Mammalia; Primates; Hominidae.